AUGUCAUGGUUCGUGAGGGUAACCCUAAGUGCCCUAACUGUCACAAGAGUGAUGUUCUGCUUGAUGCGCUCCCUAGGGAUCUACUGAAGCCUCAAGAAAAUAAGGACUCAUAAAGAAGCGUAACCUCAACAAGGCACAAGAAGCUCUGGUAUGCCAUGGUCUGGGGAUGAAGGUCAGCAGAGAUGGGAACAAGCAUGGAUUGCUAUAAAGAAGGUUUGGGCUUCAAAAUGGAACAAGAGAGCGUACUUUAGUACAAGAAAAGUGAAGCUAGAUCAUGACCUCUUAUGUAUGGCUGUCCUGGUUCAGGAAAUAAUAAAUGCUGACUAUGCAUUUGUUAUUCAUACCACAAAUCCAUCUUCAGGAGAUCCAUCAGAGAUAUACGCCGAGGUUGUAAAGGGACUUGGGGAGACUUUGUUCGGAGCUUAUCCAGGUCGGGCUUUAAGUUUAAUUGCCAAGAAAGACAAGCUUGACUCUCCUAAGGUUUUGGGUUACCCAAGCAAACCCAUUGGCCUUUUCAUAAGAAGAUCCAUUAUUUUCCGAUCUGCAUCCAAUGGUGAAGAUCUUGAAGGCUAUGAUUGUGCAUAACUUUAUGAUAGGUAAAACUUCCAUGAGAAUUUUGAAACCAUAGUUAAUUCCAUUAUAUCGUUCCUCCGAGGGAUGUUGCAAUAGUGGAUGCAAUUCGAUCUAAAGUGGCAAGAGGCAAGAGGCGAUCUACGAAGGGCGACGGUGCCGUGCUAAACAAGAUAAUGGCAGCAAUGCUUGGCUAUGUCGGUACGACGACCACAUCCGGUGGUGAACAGUGGCUACUUCGCUGCUGUGAAAGGUGAAAUAAAUCUCCCCAUAAAGUGCAGCGAAUGAGAUCACGUCGUCUUAUGUUCCGGGGUGGUUUCGAGAGCAAAUCACGGGGCAUCUCGCAACAGCGAUUCGGGUUGUUUGUGGCUAAGUGGGAGUUGCUCGAGGGCUGCAAAUGACACCGGGUAAUGGGGGUGAUGGCUGCUAGAACAUAAUGGAAAACGAGACAUCCACGUCAUGUGAUUUGGGUUCGGUUUCGGGGUUGAAUCAUGGUGUACGUACAAAGUUUGAGUUCGAACGUUAUAGGGCUGAUUUGGAAAAAAA
Molecule: RNA transcript, 1116 nt
Organism: Helianthus annuus (common sunflower)
Lineage: Eukaryota; Viridiplantae; Streptophyta; Magnoliopsida; Asterales; Asteraceae
Gene name: alpha-glucan water dikinase 1, chloroplastic
Exons: 6
Source: RefSeq, a predicted model, not a curated record